Molecule: long non-coding RNA, 366 nt
Organism: Cornus florida
Lineage: Eukaryota; Viridiplantae; Streptophyta; Magnoliopsida; Cornales; Cornaceae
Exons: 2
Source: RefSeq, a predicted model, not a curated record
ACCGGAUUUAAGUGCCGUUUGAGGCAAAACGAAGCCCACGACGAGCUUUACGCGCUAGUGUAAGCAAUUUCAGAUUUGGUGCUUCCUAGGGAGUUCGAAAUUAGAGACCCACUUUCAAGGGUUUUGUUCAAUUUAGAGGAAACGGGAAAGAAGUGGCGGAUGACUUUCCACUACAGGCCUAAUUUGGAUUAUAAGACUUCUUUUUGCUAUUUUUUGUAUUAAGUCCCAUAUUUUUUUAUAAAAUCUUAGUUUGUUAUAUUUGGUAUAGAGAUUUUGUGAACUCUUGUUAUUGUACUAUAUUUUGGGACUGUAAUUAUGAUAAUUUGGAUUAAAUGGUAUGUAAAUGUUCCACCAUGAGAUGAGCCA